This is a long non-coding RNA of Eucalyptus grandis, 497 nucleotides long. RefSeq lists it as uncharacterized. The transcript has 2 exons. NCBI's taxonomy places the organism in Eukaryota, Viridiplantae, Streptophyta, Magnoliopsida, Myrtales, Myrtaceae. The record is from RefSeq and is a predicted model, not a curated record.
GCAGAAGCUGGAAAGCCACUCCUUCGGUCACCCCAGAACUCGACACUUUUUCUGCAGAAAUAAAGAACAGCCUCUUCUGUUCAAAGACGGAGGAACCAAAGGUAGGAGCUCAGAAUGACAAAGUUACAAGUCUCUCAGGAAGGUGAGGACUUAUUAGUUGCAGGUACACUGAAAGCCGAUGACUAUUGAUGACUGAAGGCGCCAAAACAAGGAAGUUGGGAUGUAAAGUAACCCUCUUGCACAGAAUAGUUGCCUGAGUUAUGACCUUGCAAGACAAACAUUUGAAGGUUGAGGGCUCUGAAGUGUGUGAAACUGCUUAAUACAGUUAACCAUGGAUGGUUCGAACAGUACUUCCAAGCCAUACUGGUGUGUUUGAUUAGCACUUAGGAGGUGAGGCGGUCAUCCACCCUCUUAUCUAGUUGGACUUGGGGUAAAAUGAAUUGUCCAUAUUACCGCUAGAAGGAAUCCUCAAAUAUUUUUCUUUUGAACAAGGAAAA